ACUAGCACACGCAUCUGCGGCCCGUUGGCUUUACGGUUCUAUAGCCCAAUUAGCACAUGCACCAAGUAGGCUCGCGGCUACUGUUAGACCGGGUGCGAUGACCUAAUUGCUGGGCCAGUCGAUCAGCCUGACAUUUUUUUUCUCGGGCCUGAACCCGUUGGGCCGGGUCUCGAGUUGAGGACCAGCCUCGGGUUUUCUUAGUGGGCCUUAUUUAGCCUAUC
This 221-nucleotide long non-coding RNA is filed under the name Carica papaya (papaya). RNAcentral's name for it is "long non-coding RNA (CPAP_LNC010723)". Lineage: Eukaryota; Viridiplantae; Streptophyta; Magnoliopsida; Brassicales; Caricaceae. The record is from RNAcentral.